AGAAUCAGCUUUAAUCAGUGAUUUCACCCAAAGCAGCUGUGGGCUGUUUGCUGGGAGACGCUCCCAAGGGCUGUUUAGGUUUGCAGCUGGGACAAAUCAGCUGCAAUCAGCUCCAAUCAGCUCCCCAUAAAGCUCUCACUUCCCCGGCUCUGGGGAAGAGUUUGGGCUUUGUGCUCUGAGCUGCAUAUGUCUCUGAACUUGGAUGGUGCUUUUUCUGGUGUUGGAGGGAAGCAGAACAGAAGUGUGAUUCCCCAAGCUUUCAAGGGUUCUGGUGGGCACAGCAUUCUUACAGUUUUGGGAUGAUGAGUCAUAUAAAUAUUGCCUCUGUAUUUUUGCAGGAAGAGGAGAGGAUGCUCUUCCAGCUUGGCACUAGCCAGGAAAGUCCCAUAGACCCAGCUCCGGAGCACUUGCCAGCAUACAGGUAUUAUUUUCUCAGGCACAAGUCUAGGCACAGGAUUUUUUGUAUUGCUAUUCCUUCUUCAAAAUCAUGAAGCAUAUCAAAUCUCUUGAUAAAGCAGUUCUUAAAAAAAACAGUUAUAAGGAAUAAAUUUCUUUCCUUAAUCUUAAAUUUAGCCUGA
This 578-nucleotide long non-coding RNA is filed under the name Parus major (Great Tit). Its description in RNAcentral is "lncRNA (ENSPMJG00000015433.1)". Lineage: Eukaryota; Metazoa; Chordata; Aves; Passeriformes; Paridae. The record is from RNAcentral.